CUACGGGGGGCUGCAGUGAGGAAUAUUGCACAAUGGGGGGAACCCUGAUGCAGCAACGCCGCGUGGAGGAUGACGCAUUUCGGUGUGUAAACUCCUUUUAUAUGUCAAGAAAAUGACGGUAGCAUAUGAAUAAGCGCCGGCUAACUCCGUGCCAGCAGCCGCGGUAAUACGGAGGGCGCAAGCGUUACUCGGAAUCACUGGGCGUAAAGGACGCGUAGGCGGGUUGAAAAGUCAGGUGUGAAAGCCUACAGCUUAACUGUAGAACUGCACUUGAAACUCUCAACCUAGAGUAUGGGAGGGGCAGAUGGAAUUAGUGGUGUAGGGGUAAAAUGCGUAGAUAUCACUAGGAAUACCUAAAGCGAAGGCGAUCUCCUGGAACAUAACUGACGCUAAGGCGUGAAAGCGUGGGGAGCAAACAGGAUUAGAUACCCCCGUAGUC
This 439-nucleotide ribosomal RNA is filed under the name uncultured bacterium. Its description in RNAcentral is "partial 16S ribosomal RNA". It matches the Rfam family "Bacterial small subunit ribosomal RNA", at positions 339 to 795 of the family's 1533-position model. The record is from RNAcentral.